RNAcentral lists this long non-coding RNA (299 nucleotides) under Pan troglodytes (chimpanzee). RNAcentral's name for it is "lincRNA". The record is from RNAcentral. Lineage: Eukaryota; Metazoa; Chordata; Mammalia; Primates; Hominidae.
GCUUCACAGGAGGCCCCGUUUUGAGAGGUGCAUGAACGUGUGGCCCACGUUCAACAACACUCAGGAGAGGGGAAAGAAUGUUCAGGACACACUGAAUUUCCAAGACGUACAGAUCUCUCCAAGCAUCCCAAAAGGCGUAUGUUCCUGGUGGGGCCGAGGGCCUGCUCUUGGAGACAGAUGGCGAGCAGCGGUCAGCAGCUACUGAGAGCUCAACUUCCCCUCUAGAGACAGGCUCUGCCCCUCAAGUCCACCUGGGUCUUGGCUCUCUGAAUCCUGUCCGAGGGUGGCGAACUUGAGGC